GACGAACGCUGGCGGCGUGCUUAACACAUGCAAGUCGAACGGAAAGGCCCUGCUUUUGUGGGGUGCUCGAGUGGCGAACGGGUGAGUAACACGUGAGUAACCUGCCCUUGACUUUGGGAUAACUUCAGGAAACUGGGGCUAAUACCGGAUAGGAGCUCCUGCUGCAUGGUGGGGGUUGGAAAGUUUCGGCGGUUGGGGAUGGACUCGCGGCUUAUCAGCUUGUUCGUGGGGUAGUGGCUUACCAAGGGUUUGACGGGUAGCCGGCCUGAGAGGGUGACCGGCCCCAAGGGCAGUGAGAAACGGGCAAGAGUACUAAGGGAGGAAGCAGGAGGGACGUGGCCGCAAGGGGGGAAAGGGUGACGGAGGAACGCCGCGUGAGUGAGGACGGUCGUAGGAGAGGAAAAGUGAGUUAUGAGGGAAGAAAAAAUGUGUAAGUAACUAGGCACGGCUUGACGGGACCUAAUCAGAAAGCCAAGGCUAACUACGUG
Molecule: ribosomal RNA, 488 nt
Filed under: uncultured bacterium
Lineage: Bacteria
Description: partial 16S ribosomal RNA
Rfam family: Bacterial small subunit ribosomal RNA
Source: RNAcentral